GAGAUGAUGCUGACAUUUUGUGGAAGAAGCAUAAACAUGAACUUGGGGAGGUGUAGAUAUUAUGCAGUGACAGUAAAGACAAACAUGUUUAUCAUUCUCAAGAGAGCUGCUGUUAUACUUCAUAAAUGAAUUACCCUCGAUGCUCCAUUUCCUUCUAGAGUAGGGAGUACAAAAUAUAUUGACAGCACAUUACUUGUAUUUCCUGAAAACUUAAUACUGUAUGUGCGUAAAAACAAAAUUCAUUACAUGUCAAAGAGGAAUAUUGUUACUUAAUUGACAUGGGUUGAUUUUUUGGAAGAAAGAAAGUACACUUUCAUGGAAAAAUGAUAUUUGUGUACCUGUGCGUAAUAUUAAUUGUGUAUGCUUAUUGUGUGUAAUUGACUUUCUUAACCAUUAUCCAGAUACAGAUUUGAGAGUUCACAUUCUUAUGUGAUGUUCAAGUAAGUAUUAAUUUUUUUUAUUUUUUCUUCAUAUUUAUAGAUAUGAUAGCAAUUCCAGAUUUUUCUGCAGGAGCAAUGGAGAACUGGGGAUUAAUCACAUACCGAGGAUCAUCAGUCCUUUAUAAACCAAAUGUCACAUCUACACCACAAGAAACAUGGAUAGUUGUUACUAUUACUCAUGAAUUGGCACAUCAGUGGUUUGGUAAUUUGGUGACAAUGGAAUGGUGGAAUGAUCUGUGGCUCAAUGAAGGAUUUGCCUCAUUUGUAGAAUACAUCGGAGCAGAUCAUUUUAGACCUGAAUGGCACAUGUUGGAUAAGUUCAUCAUAGAAACCACCCAUGCAGCAAUGGCCAAAGAUCAGAAAGCUUAUUCACAUCCUAUCAGAGUAACAGUCCAUGAUACUGCUCAAAUCAGUGAAAUAUUUGAUUCCAUCUCGUACAGUAAGGUAUGUAGGUUUCAUUUGAAACUAUAUUCUGUUUAUAAUUUUCUAAAGUCUAUGGACGAAUGUUAUACAGUGGGUAUAAAAAAAACAGGACAGAUUUGAAAAGUCUAUACAAUUUUUGUUUCAAAUUAUGAUGUCUAUAUUUUGGUGUUAAUAGGUGAUCUGAAGUCUCUUUCAAAUGCCAUUAAAAGAAUUUAGUUUUGUUCAUGCAUGAGCAAACACGGAAUGUUUUUGUCUGGGGAUAAAAAGGAGGCUUGCGCCAAAAUGGCAUAAAAUGAUAAAUAUGAUGAUCGGACUUCUUGCUAAUCAGCAGACUUCCUCUUAACCUUUUCAUUAUCUUUGCCAUAAUUUUCAAAUUAUGCGGUCAAAAUUCAUUUUCAAAUCUAUUUAUUUGCUUGAAUUGUUCUGUUGUUUCUUUUUAAUAUGUUUUCUUUUAGCUUUGAAUAUUCCUUCUUUGAGCAAAAACAACAUUUUUUUUUCAACCGGAAUAUGGGAGAGCUUUUGGGUUUUUUUUUUUUAUACUUUCAUUGUGUGCUACAAAGGUUAUGAUGCCUUUAAACAGUGCCAUACAGAUUGGCGGGGCUCGGGAUGCUCCCCCCC
Long non-coding RNA from Lytechinus pictus (painted urchin), 1481 nucleotides. RefSeq lists it as uncharacterized. The record is from RefSeq and is a predicted model, not a curated record. The transcript is spliced from 3 exons. NCBI's taxonomy places the organism in Eukaryota, Metazoa, Echinodermata, Echinoidea, Temnopleuroida, Toxopneustidae.